CUGGCGAGUGUGAAUGUGUUUUCUUUGAUUGAAGAAUACAAAACCUAUUUUCAAAUGGUAAUUAACCGACUUUUUUGUCCAAAGCUCCUGUUAUUCGUUGUAUGGAUGUGUCUGGCGUUGGACUGGAAGACCGCCUCCGCUGAACGGUGUGCGCCGGGAUAUACCUACCAAUAUGGUCACUGCCGCAAAAGAAUCUGAGCAAUCCGCAUACUAUUUGACAAUUCUCAUUGAAACCACUUUAACAUCAAAAUAUAGUGCAUAAGAAACAUCGAAAGCACAACAAACGUUUGGUUGCAUUCUGUCCGGGCUUGUCAACCGGGCUCACGUAUUUUUUAAGCUGUUGCAUUACCUUGUGCAGUGAGAAAGGGAUCAAUAGAAACCGUAGAAACUGAAAACCAACACCCAUAAGUAUUGGCUUAACUAUUGUAUUAGAUAUGCCAAAGAGCGCUUUGAAAUAUUGUAAAAUGAAGUAGAAUUUAACACCAUACACGAACGCGGGGCUAUUUAAGUUGUAAGAUUUAUUGGUAUAAUACACUUCGUGUUAUAGAAUACCAGAUGCGGCUACAGAAUUCGCUUUAUAAGCGAGAACUGAAGCUCAGUUACUCAGUCUCUAGAGCAAUACUGGCGAGUUACUUGAGUUUGAUUGAAGAACACAAAACCCAUUUUACAAUGCUAAUCUACCGACUUUCCUGUCAGAAGCUCCUGUUAUUAUUUCUAUGGAUGGUUCUGGAAUUGGAUUGGUCGGACGACAAAACUAAAGAAUGUGAGGAGGAGGGAUUCAGUUAUAUCAAGACUCUUCGUCGUUGUGUAGAUAAUAAGUAUGGCUAUGGCUAGGUAUCAAAUGGCACGAGGCAACUCGUUCCUGCAGAAAUCCAAAGGCUGGAGAAAUUACAAAUCUACACAUGGAUUAGCUAGUGCAUGAUAAUAAAACAAAUCGAAAUAUA
This is a long non-coding RNA of Drosophila suzukii, 944 nucleotides long. RefSeq lists it as uncharacterized. NCBI's taxonomy places the organism in Eukaryota, Metazoa, Arthropoda, Insecta, Diptera, Drosophilidae. The record is from RefSeq and is a predicted model, not a curated record.